GGUAUAGCUCAAUGGUAGAGAGCAUGCCUAGCAUGUAUGAAGCCCUAGGUUUGAAUCCCAGUACC
RNAcentral lists this transfer RNA (65 nucleotides) under Ictidomys tridecemlineatus (thirteen-lined ground squirrel). RNAcentral describes it as "Spermophilus tridecemlineatus (thirteen-lined ground squirrel) tRNA". It matches the Rfam family "tRNA". Rfam says of the family: Transfer RNA (tRNA) molecules are approximately 80 nucleotides in length. Their secondary structure includes four short double-helical elements and three loops (D, anti-codon, and T loops). The record is from Rfam by way of RNAcentral. Lineage: Eukaryota; Metazoa; Chordata; Mammalia; Rodentia; Sciuridae.